This 442-nucleotide ribosomal RNA is filed under the name Procambarus spiculifer. RNAcentral describes it as "partial 16S ribosomal RNA". The stretch from base 291 to 442 matches the Rfam family "Bacterial large subunit ribosomal RNA", at positions 2473 to 2625 of the family's 2925-position model. The record is from RNAcentral. Lineage: Eukaryota; Metazoa; Arthropoda; Malacostraca; Decapoda; Cambaridae.
AUUAGUUUUUUAAUUGAAGGCUAGAAUGAAUGGUUGGACAAAAAAUAAUCUGUCUUAAAUUAAUAUAUUGAAUUUAACUUUUAAGUGAAAAGGCUUAAAUAAUCUGAAGGGACGAUAAGACCCUAUAAAACUUUAUAUUUGUAAGGUAGUAGUAAAUUUUAUUUUAAUUUAUUAUUUUAAAGUAUUUGGUUGGGGUGAUAAGGAUAAAAUAUAAAAUAACUGUCUUUUUUUUUUACAGUAAUGUUUGAUUUAAUGAUCCUAAAAAGGAUUAAAGAUUAAGUUACUUUAGGGAUAACAGCGUAAUUUUCUUUAAGAGUUCUUAUCGACAAGAAAGUUUGCGACCUCGAUGUUGAAUUAAAAGUUCUUUAUAGAGUAGAGACUAUAAGAGAAGGUCUGUUCGACCUUUAAAAUUUUACAUGAUUUGAGUUCAGACCGGUGUGAG